Molecule: ribosomal RNA, 497 nt
Filed under: uncultured bacterium
Lineage: Bacteria
Description: partial 16S ribosomal RNA
Rfam family: Bacterial small subunit ribosomal RNA
Source: RNAcentral
GAUGAACGCUGGCGGCGUGCCUAAUACAUGCAAGUCGAGCGAACGGACGAGAAGCUUGCUUCUCUGAUGUUAGCGGCGGACGGGUGAGUAACACGUGGAUAACCUACCUAUAAGACUGGGAUAACUUCGGGAAACCGGAGCUAAUACCGGAUAAUAUUUUGAACCGCAUGGUUCAAAAGUGAAAGACGGUCUUGCUGUCACUUAUAGAUGGAUCCGCGCUGCAUUAGCUAGUUGGUAAGGUAACGGCUUACCAAGGCAACGAUGCGUAGCCGACCUGAGAGGGUGAGCGGCCACACUGGAACUGAGACACGGUCCAGACUCCUACGGGAGGCAGCAGUAGGGAAUCUUCCGCAAUGGGCGAAAGCCUGACGGAGCAACGCCGCGUGAGUGAUGAAGGUCUUCGGAUCGUAAAACUCUGUUAUUAGGGAAGAACAUAUGUGUAAGUAACUGUGCACAUCUUGACGGUACCUAAUCAGAAAGCCACGGCUAACUACGUG